Lates calcarifer (barramundi perch) is the source of this 579-nucleotide long non-coding RNA. RefSeq lists it as uncharacterized. NCBI's taxonomy places the organism in Eukaryota, Metazoa, Chordata, Actinopteri, Centropomidae. The record is from RefSeq and is a predicted model, not a curated record. The transcript has 3 exons.
AGAUGAAGACAAAGAAGCGACAUAGGAACAGUGCUCCAGAGUGGGGGGCCUACUGUAACCUCAGUGAGCUGGGUGUUUACUGCAUCGAUCGGCGUUACAGCUACCACCUGGAGCCACGCUACAGAGGAUGACUCCUCUCCUCUGUGUGUUUUCCCUCUGCUGAGGUCAUCUUCCUGUUUUUGACCCAUCACCUCUCCUAAAACUCUGUCCUGGGAAAAACUCUCCUGCACAAUGACUGAAUGCCGAGUCUGUUUUCCAGUCACUUGAUUUGUAUUUCCUUCAACUGCAGUUUCAUAGAUUGCCUGUGUGUUUUUAACCUGACCUGUUUUUGAAUAUUGAUGUUGCAGCGUAACCUUUGCUGUCCUGUGACGAGAUGCUCACUCUAACAUGUUUCUUAAAGUCUGGUGAUAUUCUGUAUUUUUCUUAUUUUCAGCAAAUCUCAUGAAAAGACCCAACAAUGAACUGAUCCUAACAUGUAAUGUCAGAGUAGCUGUUGUUGAACAUAUCUUACUCCUCUGCUGAUACAAUACUCACUAGAGCACCAGAUGUGGAUCAAUCCGCCGCUGGAAAUAGUCCCCA